This 506-nucleotide ribosomal RNA is filed under the name uncultured bacterium. Its description in RNAcentral is "partial 16S ribosomal RNA". It matches the Rfam family "Bacterial small subunit ribosomal RNA", at positions 30 to 523 of the family's 1533-position model. The record is from RNAcentral.
AUUGAACGCUGGCGGCAGGCCUAACACAUGCAAGUCGAGCGGCAGCGGAAAGUAGCUUGCUACUUUGCCGGCGAGCGGCGGACGGGUGAGUAAUGUCUGGGAAACUGCCUGAUGGAGGGGGAUAACUACUGGAAACGGUAGCUAAUACCGCAUAACGUCGCAAGACCAAAGAGGGGGACCUUCGGGCCUCUUGCCAUCAGAUGUGCCCAGAUGGGAUUAGCUAGUAGGUGGGGUAAUGGCUCACCUAGGCGACGAUCCCUAGCUGGUCUGAGAGGAUGACCAGCCAGACUGGAACGGAGACACGGUCCAGACUCCUAAGGGAGGCAGCAGUGGGGAAUAUUGCACAAUGGGCGCAAGCCUGAUGCAGCCAUGCCGCGUGUAUGAAGAAGGCCUUCGGGUUGUAAAGUACUUUCAGCGGGGAGGAAGGCGAUAAGGUUAAUAACCUUGUCGAUUGACGUUACCCGCAGAAGAAGCACCGGCUAACUCCGUGCCAGCCGCCGCCGUAA